GAUGAACGCUAGCGGCAGGCCUAACACAUGCAAGUCGAGGGGUAGAGGGGUGCUUGCACCUCUUGAGACCGGCGCACGGGUGCGUAACGCGUAUGCAAUCUGCCCUCUACAGGGGAAUAGCCCAGGGAAACUUGGAUUAAGUGCCCCAUAGUCUAUAAUGAUAGCAUUUGACUUAUAGUAAAGAUUUAUCGGUAGAGGAUGAGCAUGCGUCCCAUUAGCUAGUUGGUGUGGUAACGGCACACCAAGGCAACGAUGGGUAGGGCCCUGAGAGGGGGAUCCCCCACACUGGUACUGAGACACGGACCAGACUCCUACGGGAGGCAGCAGUGAGGAAUAUUGGACAAUGGGCGGAGCCUGAGUCCAGCCAUGCCGCGUGCAGGAAGACUGCCCUAUGGGUUGUAAACUGCUUUUUUACGGGAAGUAAACACCCCACGUGUGGGGGCUUGACGGUACCGUACGAAUAAGGAUACGGCUAACUCCGUGCCAGCAGCCGCGGUAAAGUCGUACG
Molecule: ribosomal RNA, 508 nt
Filed under: uncultured bacterium
Lineage: Bacteria
Description: bacterial SSU rRNA
Rfam family: Bacterial small subunit ribosomal RNA
Source: RNAcentral